Molecule: long non-coding RNA, 923 nt
Organism: Mercenaria mercenaria
Lineage: Eukaryota; Metazoa; Mollusca; Bivalvia; Venerida; Veneridae
Exons: 2
Source: RefSeq, a predicted model, not a curated record
AACUCAUUGUGAAAACCUUCGGUUUGAUGAACGUAAGUCCCUGGGAGCUUUUAGCUUCCAUAAAGUACUGAGAAAAUACAUAUUUAACUUUCAAAAUAUCUUAAAAAAACCUUAAUAAAAACUUUACACCCGGACCGAAAAACAAUUUACAAAAUAGUUUUAGCCUCCGGUUUAAAGCCGAUAUUGACUUUACAGCGUAAACAUAUAUUGGGUUUCCAUUAUAGUAUUUCGCAAUAUUGCAUCAGCCGGUUACGACUAGUUUUAUCAAUACACAUAACAUUCUUUACUGUUUUAAGUAUUAUAACGAAAAAAGUGGAAUUUAAGCAACUGAAAUGUAUUCAAGAAUUCUACAAAGAUAUUAUUAGCCAGACGAAUUACAACGUGAAAAAUCCAAGACUUUAUAAAGACAACGAACGUUUAACACAAAAUAUAUCAUCGGAAGACUUCAAGAAAAGAAUGUUAACCAUAACAUGGUUGAAUAUCAUAAUACUUUCAUGUUGUUAGAAUCACUCAACCGUUUGAGUAUGCCAUACUCAUACGCAUGGUUGAAUAUCAUAAUACUUUCAUGUUGUUAGAAUCACUCAACCAUAGGAUUAUACCAUAAUCAUACGCAUGGCUUAAUGUUAUGAUAUUUUGAUGUUGUUGAAAUCACUCAACCGUUUGAGUAUGCCAUAUGGGCAUAUGCAUGAUUGAAUAUACGCUUUUGGGAGUAGUAUGGAAUAUAACGUUUAUGGGUGCAUUUUUGAUAGUAGUAAAGAAUAUUAUGUUUUUGAUACAUUUUAACCCUUUUUAUUAAAAUAAUUUAUAAUUGUUUGUUCAUUAUGUUUUACAUUGUUUACUCUCAGUGUUUUAUACAAUAAAUCAUAAAUGUUUAUACCAUUUUGUAACAUUUUAAUGAAAAAUAAACAAUAAUAACCACAAAA